Paramacrobiotus metropolitanus is the source of this 1814-nucleotide long non-coding RNA. RefSeq lists it as uncharacterized. The record is from RefSeq and is a predicted model, not a curated record. Lineage: Eukaryota; Metazoa; Tardigrada; Eutardigrada; Parachela; Macrobiotidae. The transcript is spliced from 3 exons.
UAUUUGAAUAAUUGAACUUUAAUUAAUUUGCAUUUAUGGUCAUACAACCCAUAAAAGCAUAAAAUUAAUCCAAAUUUUGGCCCCCGCCGGUCUUCCUUAUCGGCUUAUAUUCUGUGUACCUUUUCUGGCCACUUUUUCCCCGCGAUGAGAAUUGGACUAGUAUUUGUUUUUUGCUCUGGCUGGCUAUGCUCCGCUGGCGUUGGCGCAUUCAUUCCGCGGGAUCCUUGUGAAAAAGCAAAAUUCCUUUUUUCUUGCUGAUUUUUCUGGCUUAAGUAAUGUAGUAAAAGGAAUGCACUAGCACGAUCACCAAGUAUCUGAUCAGCCCAGUUGACAAACCAGAACAUGACUUCCGAGAUCCAACCACCGACGGGCAAUGUAACGGCUUGUAAAUGUAAUUACUGUACUUUAGUGCGUCAAAAUCGGAUACGGAGAACUGGAGGUCACCGGAUACAAAGAUGACAAGGCAACAAACAUUCUGAAAUAGCUGAAUAUUGCUGAUUGGAGAGAAUUAGUGUCAUAAUAAUUAUCGAAGUAAGCCGAUACUCCGUGCCUUCCCUUCAGUUAUUCAACUGCGUCAUUUCUCACCAGGCAGGAACUCUGAUUAUUUCUCACCAGGCAGGAAUUCCCGGUGCGUUUGCCUAAUUUAGUCUAAAUCAGAAACCUUGAAGUACCGUCCGGUAUCUCAGUUGUGGAAGAGCCUUGCGUCAAAACCGUAGCCGAGUGUUUAUUCUGGAUCGUGGACUGCUUGGAAUGAUUUCUGUCUGUUCGAGACGAAAGCCGAAGCAAUACUACCUUCCAGCGACAGCGACCUCCGUUUAAGUAAAAAAAGCGGGUUUUCAAAACGGAAAAAGUUUUUACCAGUGAUGGGCCUGGCGGGUAAGAGUAUUAGGCUGUUUUGGCCGUAUAUCAGUCAUCACCAUGAAUUUCGUACCACUUCAUUGCAAAUUUUCAUACUGCGUGGUAACAUGGAAGUUUUUCUAAAUCACACCAGCUGGCUGACGGGGGCAUUUGGAACUGUUCACUAUGUGUGCUCCUGUUUGACCUUUUGGAAAACGGUGGCGGCCGUUAUUCUUGGCUUGGUAAUAUUUGUUGCUAUCAUUUUCGUUUUUGUGGGUAUCUGGUACCUGUAUCAAGUCUGUGCCCGCAAAAUCAGUCGACCCUUUCGGGAACUUUUUCGGGGUUUUUUGCGUUAUGCCGGCUAUCCAGCCCCCUUGCCAGAACAUCUGCCACUCCAAAAUGGCCAUGCUGGCGCGGCGCACGAUUGAAAAAAGCCUUACAGGAUCAGGAUUUUAAUGAUUUUUCUGUGCUCUGCUGUGAUCAACAGCUGAGCUUGCCAUAAACCGCUGUUAGUUGUGUGCUUAUUAAGAAACGCCGUUCUUGGCCUCCCCUCCGGCCGUUCUGGCCAACACGGCGCCCCUAACCUCUCCUCUCUGGGUUUGCGUUCAUAUUACUGAUAUUCUGUGCAUCCCAUUGGGCAUCUCCAGUAUCCCUCUCCAGUAUCCCUGGCCGCCGCUUACUGACUGCUGCUUAUUUGUGGCUGCCGGACGCCGACUACCAUUCCCAUUGUACUUGUAUACUCCCGUCGCCCAUUACGCUUUAUAUAAUCUCCUGCAGUCUAAUGGCUCGAACGGCUUUCCUUCUUUCCCCUACGCGUUCGGCAGCACAAGUUAAAGAGACCCACAACCCCCUGACUAACGUCCAUGCAGCCGCGCAACGCCGUUGCGUCCAUCGUCCACGACGGUCUGCAACCACGGCAUGGCAUGAACUGGAUGUGGAAUACUGUGGUUCUACACCUUAGCCGCCGUUAGCGUCUC